RNAcentral lists this long non-coding RNA (619 nucleotides) under Capsicum annuum. RNAcentral's name for it is "long non-coding RNA (CANN_LNC007262)". The record is from RNAcentral. Lineage: Eukaryota; Viridiplantae; Streptophyta; Magnoliopsida; Solanales; Solanaceae.
GACAAAGCUAUCAAUAAGAUAAAGAAAAAAAUGAUAGAGAAAAAAAUUAAAAGUUAUAUUCCUUCAAAUCAGAUAGUUGUUUCUUCAGUAUUCCUUCAAAUCAAAUGCAUAGCUUGAUCAACUAUGGUCGCGGAGCUAAUUAAUGAAAAAGUGUAGUAAUAUAUGGUUGAAUCUAAACUUUAUUUCUCAUAGAAUUCUCUAAUUUUUUGGAUAUGUAAAGAAAAGAAAGGGGAAGAAAAAAAUGAUAGAUGAAAUCAUGCUUGAAGAUUGAUUCUUUUUUUUCUUUUUAUCUCUUUCUUUCUCUUCAUGGGUAAUAAUUUAUUUUUUCAUUGAUUUCUAAAAAUAGCAAGGCACUAGCAGAAAGUUCAAUAGUUAUGGAAUGAGACAUGUUGUAGUGGUGAAAUUGAGGGUGGCGAAAUGUUUGUUUAGGUGGUUUGUUCUUUGGCUGUGGAAUUGGGGUAAAGAGAUAUUUGUUUGGAUAAUUUGUCCAAUUGGUGGUAGAUGUAGUGGCUAUGGUGCUAAAAGUGGAGGAAAAGAGAAAGAAAGAAGGAGAUAGAAGGAAAAAUUAUUUUCUCGUCGGAGGUAGAAGGAAAAAUUAUUUUCUGGUGGCAAUGGUGAA